RNAcentral lists this ribosomal RNA (403 nucleotides) under uncultured bacterium. Its description in RNAcentral is "bacterial SSU rRNA". It matches the Rfam family "Bacterial small subunit ribosomal RNA", at positions 356 to 773 of the family's 1533-position model. The record is from RNAcentral.
GGGGGAUAUUGCACAAUGGAGGAAACUCUGAUGCAGCAACGCCGCGUGAGGGAAGAAGGUCUUCGGAUUGUAAACCUUUGUCCUUGGUGACGAAACAAAUGACGGUAGCCAAGGAGGAAGCUCCGGCUAACUACGUGCCAGCAGCCGCGGUAAUACGUAGGGAGCAAGCGUUGUCCGGAUUUACUGGGUGUAAAGGGUGCGUAGGCGGCUCUGCAAGUCAGGUGUGAAAACUAUGGGCUUAACUCAUAGAUUGCACUUGAAACUGUGGAGCUUGAGUGAAGUAGAGGCAGGCGGAAUUCCCGGUGUAGCGGUGAAAUGCGUAGAGAUCGGGAGGAACACCAGUGGCGAAGGCGGCCUACUGGGCUUUAACUGACGCUGAAGCACGAAAGCAUGGGUAGCAAAC